GCUGGCGGUAAACGUACUGGUGUAUUUUCUGUUGAGGGGCAGUCAUGUUUCUCCAGUAUUACCUCAACUAGCAGGGCGAUCGCGUCUAUACUCUAAAGAAAUUUGACCCCAUGGGACAACAGACUUGCUCUGCCCAUCCUGCUCGGUUCUCCCCAGAUGACAAAUACUCAAGACACCGAAUCACCAUCAAGAAACGCUUCAAGGUGCUCAUGACCCAGCAACCGCGACCUGUCCUCUGAGGGCUUGUUAAUCUCUUGUGUUACUCGUCCCCCGGCCGAUUAUCAGUAACCAAACACUUCAUUCCGUGAGCCUGGAAGCCUUCCCAUGCUGUUUAGAAUCCCCUCUCACUCACUAAAGUCUGUAGUGAUGGGCAUCGCCCGUAAAAGGAACGACUUUUUUUCCAUGUUUUGAUUUACUGCCCGGUUAUUAAAGAUACAAUGACUUGAAAAAAAAAAA
This 456-nucleotide long non-coding RNA is filed under the name Rattus norvegicus (Norway rat). Its description in RNAcentral is "long non-coding RNA NONRATT006411". The record is from RNAcentral. Lineage: Eukaryota; Metazoa; Chordata; Mammalia; Rodentia; Muridae.